Long non-coding RNA from Leopardus geoffroyi (Geoffroy's cat), 142 nucleotides. RefSeq lists it as uncharacterized. The transcript is spliced from 3 exons. Lineage: Eukaryota; Metazoa; Chordata; Mammalia; Carnivora; Felidae. The record is from RefSeq and is a predicted model, not a curated record.
UGGCUGGCUCAGCUGGUUGAGUGUCUGACUCUUGAUUUCAGCUCAGGUCAUGAUCUCACGGUCCGUGAGUUCGAGCCCCGCGUCAGGGUCAGCACUGACAGCACGUAGUCUGCUUGGGAUUCUCUCUCUCAAAAUAAAUAAA